Molecule: long non-coding RNA, 1828 nt
Organism: Equus asinus (donkey)
Lineage: Eukaryota; Metazoa; Chordata; Mammalia; Perissodactyla; Equidae
Source: Ensembl
GAAUUUUUCUGCCCACCCACUCUACCAGCUAAUUUUCCGAAGACUAAUUAGGUUGUUGAAUAUUUUUUUAAAAUGCUCCACUUCCGGAGACAAAGAAAGGGUAUAGCAACCUGAUACUUGCUAUACAUAAAGAUUGGUAAGAGGAAAAAACCCUGUCAGGGAGGAAAUCUUAUUUUGCAGAGUGAAGUAGAGGAAUUAGACUUGACUAUUUCUGGAAUACGAACUUAGCUAGGCGAGGAGACUCUAUUUCCUGAUUUAGGGUUUUCCAUGGCCAAUCUCCACUGUGACCUCGUGGACAAAAAAUGAUUUUUGUUUUCUUCAGAGAAGAACAAGUAGGUGGUUGAUUUAGAGGCUGUUGGACUGGCUCAAUUUUCAGAACAAGUGAUUUACUGUGGAUCUUUCAGAAUUCCUCUUUUAAUAAGUUUUAUUUUUAAAGAAAAGCAAUGAUAACUGAGAUUUCUGGUCCUCUGACCAAGUAGAUGAAAGUUAUCAAAGGGCAAGCAGCACCAGGUUUCCUUGUCCCACUUGUGCCCAGAAGAAGAAGAAGAAGAAAUUCAGAUGCUGCUGAAGUCUAGCAAGGACACAGAGCCGCAGUGGUGUUUAGUUCCUGUUGAAGGUCAGCCUGCAACAAGCUUGGCAUCCAGGAAGCAAUUCAAUUCUGUUUAGAAAUCGUAUCUGGUAAUUACACUCUCCUUAAAUCUAUGCUUGGGUUGUAAAUCCAGAAAAAAACCUUCCAGCAGCCACCCCUUGAUCCUUUUUAAAAGGGCAAUUUCAAAAAAGUUCAAGAACCUUCAAGGUGCGGGUAAUUCUUUGAUAUUUAGGAGGAUUGCGAUUAAAAGUCAUUAGAUUUAAUUAGGUGGAAAUAAGGAUUCGUCCUUUAAAAAAAAAGUGAAACUAAGUAAAAGCAUUCUUGCUAUGUACUUUGUCCUGAAUGGAUUUGUGAAUGUGUAUAGAACAGCGUGGCCAUACCAAAUGUUUUUCCUUACAGGCUGCUUUUUACAGUCUUUCUGAAAGAAAACGAAACCAAGUGGUUUUUAGGGAUAAAAAAGCGCAUUUUUAAAAUUUUUACCUCAAGAACUGAAAAUUAAAUAAGUAAAUUUUAUUUCAACCUCCCUAAAUUCUUAGCAAGUGUUGAAACAUGCUGAGGAGAGAAAUACUUAAAUUUUACAGGAAAGAGCAAAAUCAAGUAUAUGCUUUCAAUGGACUUAGCUCUUUCAGGAUAUUUUCUGCCUUGGUACUAAAACUCCUAAUGCGGUACCCCGAGCCAAAGACAACAAAUACCUUCGUGCACAGCAUCUCUCCACCCUCCCUCGCUCAGGCAGCUACUGUGAGGCAGUCACAGUGUUUGUUUAUGAAAACUUCAAAGAUAAAGACUACCCAAUGGUGUCAAAAGAAAAAGCAACAGCAGUAAAGGCAUCCAGAUGUGACUGCACAUGGUACAUUGGAAAAAACACGGGCUGUCAAGUCAGACAGAUGGAGGCUCAAACCCUGAUUCUACCACUUAAAAGCCUUGACGAUUGACGUUCUCUGAAAUUUUGCUUCCUUGUCUGUGAAAGGGGGCUCUUAAGAAUGCAUCACAUGGAAUUGCUAUAGGAAUGAAAUGAGACGUAUCCUGUCAAGUAGUACGAAUAUUAUCUCUGGUGAACAAUAAUUUUCAAUUUCCUUCUCCUCCCUCACCUCCAGACAUCUAGAUGGAAUGGUCUCUGGUUAACUUAAAAGCCAUCUCUAAUUUCGGCUUCCAAACGUGUAAUACCAUAAUAACUACAAAUAAAUGACAACAACAAUCAAUGAUGUAGUACUCUGAUUAUUGAGUGGUAUUUGGCUUCUG